Sinocyclocheilus anshuiensis is the source of this 2802-nucleotide long non-coding RNA. NCBI's taxonomy places the organism in Eukaryota, Metazoa, Chordata, Actinopteri, Cypriniformes, Cyprinidae. The record is from Ensembl.
GCAAAAACAAAUGUAAGCUUUUUAGUUUGAUUUAAUUGUUAUUUACAAUUAAUGUUAACUUAAAAAAUUUGAGUUGCUUAAUUAAAUUUUUUAGGUAAUCGGUGUCCACAAAAAUUUAGUAUUCUGAACUUAUCGGGUUUUACAGUGUAUUACAAUAAUGAUCAGACAGAGCUGAAGCGACAAAUCAGGACGUACCAACUUCAUAUUCAUGGUAAAGACUAAACUUAUCAAACAUCUGCUUUCUGGAUUUGCUUUAGUGAACAUGUCUUAUUGCAUGUAACCAGCAGAGACUCUGAUCGAGACAAGCCUAAUAUUCAGAUCAGUGUGUUUAUGGCCUUGAUUAAAUUGCUUCAUUAUAAUAAUGAUUGUCUGUGUUUCUCCUCAGAUGAGAUUUCUGUGAACGUCGGUGAGCAGCUGGAGUUAGAUGUUCUGUUGUCAGAAGCUGAUAAAGUGCAGCAUCAGAGCAACAUCAGGACCGAGUGGAAGGAGGUUUGGACGAGAAAAGAUGGGUUCUGGAGCGAUCGACUGACUGACAGUGAUGCAAACCUGACUGUUUUACAGUUUAUGACCAGAGAUGCAGGAACAUACAGAGUUCUGGAUUCAGAAGAAAAAACAUUGAUCACAGUCACAGUCACAGAAUCAGGUACAGAAUCAAUAGGAAAACUGGACGAAACUGAAGACACUAAACGAGUUCGUAAGUAAAACAGGAGCUUUACAAAAUCUUCAAGCAGUGAGUUUAAAAAAACAUUCUGUUUGUCCACUUUUGCAGCUGUAAUGUAUUGGAUCAUGAGUGCUGCACUGCUUGUAUAUGCGGUUCUGCUGGUUCUGACUCUGGUUACGCUUGCUAUCAAGAAACAGAGCAGUUUCUGAAAGCAGAACGUGUCUCUCACAGAUGAAACAUCACUGGUUACUUGUCAUGUGCCUUCAGAUUUGCAGAGUACUCUGACAGCAUAUGUCUGCAAUAUAUAUGUGAUUUAAUAUACAUAUGAACAUUUGGACUCACUUUAGCAUGAGGAUGGUGACUGUAUCUGCAUUUAGGGUCUGGUUUUGGGUGAGUAAACGUGUGCUAUAAAGGGAGCACUCUUUGCUCACUUUCUCUAUACAAUCCAUUCACAAUUUAAAGAACAGUUGUGUUUAUGUAGAGGAACAAUGUCCAUGUAUACUGUGAAGCUGCAUUAAUUACGGGAGAGAAUCUGUUUAAUUGCUGCACGAGUAACUCCUGAGAUUGCUGUGAUUGACCCGAGGUGUUUCUAGCAUUUGAAGACAUCAGGGGCUAAUGGUGAGGGCAAAUGCUCAUAUAUUUAGAGUACGACAGGCUAAAGGCACAUCUUAAGAAAAAUUUGCUUUUCUCUACCAACAUAGUGUACAUUUUUAUUGAACAUUGAUCUGUUUUAUGAAAAGUUAAUUUCGAUGCAUCUCUGUUAUCAGGAAAUACAGAGCUACACAGAUGCAAACUCUUUCAUGCACUGGUGUUGUAUUGCAGAAAUGCAGCUUAUUUUAUCUAUUGUUUUCUUAUGGCACUACAUUGAUGAGCAGGAACAGCUGAAUGUAGCACUUUAUUUUUGAAAUUCUUUCUAUUGUAGAUUUUUAUCACUUGUUUAAUAUGUAGUGAAGUCCGGGGUUUUGAAAUGAGCGUUUUGUUGUACAAUACUGUGUGAUGCUGCUGAAAUAAAACGCAGAAGUGUUGUUUAACAUGUUUAAAUGUGAUAUACUUAGAACGGCACGAUGAACUGUCUUCAUCAUCAUCAUCAUCCUCAUCAUCGAGAGUUUCUCCUUUCCAGUGUUGCUUUUGACUGCUUCAUCAGGGAACAUUAUUCUUCGUGAAUCUGCUUCAAACAGCAUGUACUGUGAAGAACUAAACAAACUGAAGCACUUUUGUAAGAAACACUUUUGUUGAUAUUGAUUUGUUGGUAUGUAUUUUUGUAUGUGUUAGAUUUGCAUGUGGGACCACAUGUCUAGCUGUAUCUUUACACAUUUUAUUGAUAAGCAUUAUUAUUUACAUGUAAGCUGAGUUUAAGCAGUAUUAUGGCACAUAAAGUUUGAUUUACAUAAAAUGUUUUGAAUGUUAAAUGUGUUGUUGAGAGUUCUGAUUAAAUAAACUGCAGGAAAAAAAAGGAAAAGAAAUCAGAGGUGUUGUGCAUUUUUUGGUAGAAAAUCUGAUCAUUAACAAUGCUAGACCUUAAACCAUAACUGCAACUAUGUCAACUAUAUCACACUUUCAGAAAAAACUGAACUGUUUCUUAAUAAAAACAGGAUUAAUGGUGGGAACAUGACAUGCUUUGUAUUUGAGUUAAAUAACUCCAGAAGCAGUGCAACAUUGAACAUUCAAGCUGUCGCCUAAAAGAGAAAGCGCUCACCUAAUAUUUAGAUCAUCUCUCAAAAUAAUAAAACACAGAUAGAUAUGUGAACAACAUGCAAGUUUUGGCCAUUAGCACUCCAUAUAAAUCACCAGCAGCAAUAUUUCAAUCACUAAAAACAGCGGGACAUUCUAAAACGUUUAAUGUGAAAACACUUAAAGUGCCUUUAAAACAGUGAUAUUAAAAGAUGAAAUUCAGUACACACCUUAUUAAUGAUGCGUGCUUUAUACAGACAAGCAGAUGAGCCCGGAAUAUGAACGCAAUGCGCUGAAUGGUCAAGCGUCUUCUUUAUAAUGGUUUUCUAUGGGAAAAUAUUUAAUAUUAAACUUUAUGCAUUGCGUUUAUAUUCUGGGUUCAUCUGCUUGCCUGUACAAAGUCUGCAUCAUUAAUAAGGUAGAUACUCAAAUUGUACUUUAAAUUUAGUCUUACUACAUUACUAUACUUG